Long non-coding RNA from Canis lupus familiaris (dog), 2999 nucleotides. RefSeq lists it as uncharacterized. Lineage: Eukaryota; Metazoa; Chordata; Mammalia; Carnivora; Canidae. The record is from RefSeq and is a predicted model, not a curated record. The transcript is spliced from 5 exons.
UUUAAAGUGAUGAUAAUGCCAAUGUUAUAAACUGACUCGUUGGAGCCUUGCUGGACUUGUUCAUUGCUGCUGUCCCAGGGUCCAAGGUGAUGGUGGUGGUGGUGGUGGGGUGCUCACCAGACUUGGGGUAAUGAGACAGCAGAAGGCAGAUUCAUCUAUUUCUUCUCUGUUGCUUUGGUGUUCAGUGUGAAAAUGACCAGCUAGCUGAUACAGGAGGCAAAGAGAUGAAGCACACACAUAAGUCAGGAAGAAUUUCCCAGAUUUUUUGAACCUACACUUGUCCUUCCACUGGAAUCCUGCUGUACUUCUUGAUCAGUAGAAAGACAGAAACAGGUGAGCUGGUGCUGGAGGUCAGUUGAGCAGAUGUUGGCAGCUGUUGAAGCUCUACUUGAUAACUUGCUGGGAAGAAGGAGCAGUGGAAAGAGCAGAACCUUUGGCCAAUGCCUAUGACUGUGCAGCUGAUUGUGAUUGGAAAAAAAACACACACAACCACACUGCCUGGUCUCAUUUCUACAUCCUUGACCAUGGAUUUCAGGUGGUUCUUUCAAGUGCUACCUGACAAUAAGGGAAGGGGAUAUUUAUCUGGAUGGAAGACUCCAAAUGGUGACGAUUUUCUUCUCUCCCACCUUCCUUCCUCAACCCACACCAAGGAUUGAUUGUAGGUUUAUGUGAUAACAAUUAUCCAAGAUAGCUCCCAAUAUCUAUAGUCUUGUGUUCAACUUCCACAUUGAAUCAGAGCUUUGUGACUAAGUGUAUGAAGAAAGUGAUAUUGUUUGACAUCCAGACUAGAUCAUAAAAGAUAUUGCAACUCUAAACUUCUCUCUUGGAUCACAUACUUGGAAGAAAUGUCAUAAGAAUACUCAAGCAGCCCUGUAGAGAGGCCAAAAUGGAUACAUACUGAUUUACUACUAUCAACUUGCCAGCCUUAUGUGUGAGUCACCCAAGAAAUGGAUCCUCCAGCCAUCUUUUAGACAAGAAGGACAACCACAUGAGAGGUUUGAGUCAUAACUGUCCAGUGCAGCCCCUUUCAAACUGCUGACUCACAGAAAUUGAGAAAUAUUAUAAAUGAUUAUUAUUUUUUAAGCCACAAAGUCUUGAGGUGAUUCUUUAAAUAAUAAAUGGAAAAAUAAUAGUGUAUUACUUGCUUCUCAACUGCAUUGCAAACUCCUCCAGCAUAGAACAUUUGUUAGAAAUCUUAAAAUCCAGGCUAUUAUUCAGAUACCAUUCAACACUAUAGCAAAAUUAGAUAUUGCAUUUAGAAUUAGAGAAGGAGCCAUCAUUUACUGAAUGUCUACUAAGGGAAUUUACAUAUGCAUGAGCUUUAUAUACAUGGAAAUGGCUACAUACAUAGAUAUAGAACAAGAUGUUCUUUAAAGACAUAAAACACUGUACCCAAGCUGCAAAGUUAUGAAGUCAAAUUUUCUCUUUCUUUUAUCAUCAUUUCCCAGGCUUUUUUAAAAAGUAAGAUGAUGAUUUUGAGAGCAUUUAAUAAGCUACAGAGUGUUCUGUAGACAUAAGGCAUUAUGGCUUGCAUCUAUUUCUUUCUCUAUUGAGUGCUUUAAAGGAAUGCUUUGAUACUUCUACUCUGGUGUUUAUUUUGCUUUGCUAAGACUAGAAUUAGACUUUUCCUUGUGAUACAAACAUCUCAAGUAAAUGGCAAAAGAAAGUACUUUGGUAUUGCAUUGUCUCUCUUGCUAUGUGCCUAAUGAGUGUUUGUUAAAAAUUACAUCAGUUGAAGUCUCUGAAGGGAAGAGAUGGCCCACUGAGAUGGGUAAUGGAUGAAAGUUUAACCGGGUUAAGGGAAAUGAAAGGAAAGAUAUGGACCCCAGAGAGUGUAAUGAAACUGCAGGAGAAGGCUGGCCAACAACUAUGCGUCUUGGUAGAGAAUGAAGCCAACUGGAUUUAACCUUGUAAUGAGGGACCAGAGGGAAUUAGUUCUUUGACUUUACCCUCCUUGUACAUUUUGCUCUCCUGUCCAUGCUUUCAUACUGGCUGACUGCACCCCAAAACCAGAGUAAAGAAGCUGGGGGAUGAUGUUUAUACUGGUCAUCUUUCUGGGGCACAGAGGAGGAUGGAGAAUAGUAGAUAAUUAAUUGAAGAACAAUGGAAAAUAUACAAUGGAAAAUAUCCAAUAAUUGCUACAAAGUGUAGCAUUAUUUAUAUAAUAGCAAAAUAACCCAUCUUCAACAGCUUAUGGUAGGCAGGAAAACCAGAGAUUUAUUUGAAGGGACAGCUAGACACAAAGCUUUAUAUCAGGCAGGGUUAUGCCCUCAACUAGUAGCUGGAGUCUUUUUGUUAAUGAGAAAAAGUCCUUUAAGUUUGAAAAGGAAUAUUGAAUAUAUAACUAUGCUAAUGGCAUUGCCAUUGAAACUGGUUGGAUCUAACUUCCUAGCUACUUAGCUAUGUAAAUGUGACCUACCUAGAAAAUACUGAAAAACCACCUAGAAUCAAGCUUCAGUCAAACGGAUAGUAUUUUUUUCUGUAUCCAUUUAUAACUUCUUCAUUUGAUGACAACUUCUUUUAGAAUAAUUUUGGUAGUAUUAUUCCAUGUCUGAUAUGCAUGAAGGUUCAUAUUUUAGCCACUAACUUAACUCUAAAACAUCUUUCAAUUUGAACUAUAAAAUUUUUAUAAUGCCAGUAAAGGGAAAUUCAGACUCAUAACUUGAAAAAAAAUCUGCUAACUGGCAUUUUAUUUUAACUCAUGUGGUACUUCCAUAAUUUUAAAUUGUGAUAAUCCCUCACAAUUAUAAAAAGCUGGUAAUUUUCUCAUAUUUUGCCUAGGUGUGCAGAACUUUCAAUAUAUAUGCAUUUAUGCUGUAACUUUUUUUUUAUUUGCUAUCGUUAUGUCAAUGUGACACUAUAAGCCUAUAAAAUAUUCCUAAUUAUGUGACUGAUUUUAGAUACUCUUUGGGAUUAUAUAGCCUCUGACAGGAGUUUCUUAGCUGCAUGCUUGGACAUCAUAUUUUACCUAAGACAGGUACUUUUCUCAAUUUAUUGUA